This 403-nucleotide ribosomal RNA is filed under the name uncultured bacterium. RNAcentral describes it as "partial 16S ribosomal RNA". It matches the Rfam family "Bacterial small subunit ribosomal RNA", at positions 29 to 526 of the family's 1533-position model. The record is from RNAcentral.
AUUGAACGCUGGCGGCAGGCCUAACACAUGCAAGUCGAGCGAGCGGCGGACGGGUGAGUAAUGUAUGGGGACUGCCCGAUAGAGGGGGAUAACUACUGGAAACGGUGGCUAAUACCGCAUACUAUCGGAUAACCCAUAUGGGAUUAGCUAGUAGGUGGGGUAAAGGCUCACCUAGGCGACGAUCUCUAGCUGGUCUGAGAGGAUGAUCGGCGACACUAGGACGGCAACACAGCCAAGACGCCUAAGAAGGCGGCAGUGGGGGAUAUUGCACAAUGGGCGAAAGCGUGAUGCAGCGACGCCGCGUGGGGGAUGAAGGCUUUCGGGUUGUAAAACUCUUUCGCUAUCGAACGGGUAGGUGGAGAAGAAGCGCCGGCUAACUACGUGCCAGCAGCCGCGGUAAUAC